Molecule: unclassified non-coding RNA, 291 nt
Filed under: uncultured fungus
Lineage: Eukaryota; Fungi
Description: partial contains small subunit ribosomal RNA, internal transcribed spacer 1, and 5.8S ribosomal RNA
Rfam family: Eukaryotic small subunit ribosomal RNA (bases 1-73)
Source: RNAcentral
ACAAACUUGGUCAUUUAGAGGAAGUAAAAGUCGUAACAAGGUCUCCGUUGGUGAACCAGCGGAGGGAUCAUUAAAGAGUUUUCUAACUCCUAAACCCAUGUGAACAUACCUUACGUUGCCUCGGCAGGUUGUGCCUGGCCUACCCUCCCUUAUCAGGGAGGGAUACAGGCAGGCUUGCCGGCGGCCCACGAAAAUUCUGUUUAUUUGUUUUUGAGUUCUGAAUAAAUAACAAAAUAAGUUAAAACUUUCAACAACGGAUCUCUUGGUUCUGGCAUCGAUGAAGAACGCAGC